Molecule: ribosomal RNA, 1494 nt
Filed under: metagenome
Description: bacterial SSU rRNA
Rfam family: Bacterial small subunit ribosomal RNA
Source: RNAcentral
AGAGUUUGAUCCUGGCUCAGGAUGAACGCUAGCUACAGGCUUAACACAUGCAAGUCGAGGGGAAACGAUAUUGGAAGCUUGCUUCCGAUAGGCGUCGACCGGCGCACGGGUGAGUAACGCGUAUCCAACCUGCCCAUCACUUGGGAAUAACCUUGCGAAAGUAAGACUAAUGCCCAAUGACAUUUAUAGAAGGCAUCGGAAAUGAAUUAAAGAUUUAUCGGUGAUGGAUGGGGAUGCGUCUGAUUAGUUUGUUGGCGGGGUAACGGCCCACCAAGGCGACGAUCAGUAGGGGUUCUGAGAGGAAGGUCCCCCACAUUGGAACUGAGACACGGUCCAAACUCCUACGGGAGGCAGCAGUGAGGAAUAUUGGUCAAUGGCGAGAGCCUGAACCAGCCAAGUAGCGUGCAGGAUGACGGCCCUAUGGGUUGUAAACUGCUUUUAUAGGGGAAUAAAGUGAGCCACGUGUGGUUUUUUGCAUGUACCCUAUGAAUAAGGACCGGCUAAUUCCGUGCCAGCAGCCGCGGUAAAACGUAGGUCACAAGCGUUGUCCGGAAUUACUGGGUGUAAAGGGAGCGCAGGCGGGAAGACAAGUUGGAAGUGAAAUCCAUGGGCUCAACCCAUGAACUGCUUUCAAAACUGUUUUUCUUGAGUAGUGCAGAGGUAGGCGGAAUUCCCGGUGUAGCGGUGGAAUGCGUAGAUAUCGGGAGGAACACCAGUGGCGAAGGCGGCCUACUGGGCACCAACUGACGCUGAGGCUCGAAAGUGUGGGUAGCAAACAGGAUUAGAUACCCUGGUAGUCCACACUGUAAACGAUGAUUACUAGGUGUUGGAGGAUUGACCCCUUCAGCGCCGCAGUUAACACAAUAAGUAAUCCACCUGGGGAGUACGACCGCAAGGUUGAAACUCAAAGGAAUUGACGGGGGCCCGCACAAGCAGUGGAGUAUGUGGUUUAAUUCGACGCAACGCGAAGAACCUUACCAAGUCUUGACAUCCUGCGACGCACAUAGAAAUAUGUGUUUCCUUCGGGACGCAGAGACAGGUGGUGCAUGGUUGUCGUCAGCUCGUGUCGUGAGAUGUUGGGUUAAGUCCCGCAACGAGCGCAACCCUUAUGGUCAGUUACUACGCAAGAGGACUCUGGCCAGGCUGCCGUUGACAAAACGGAGGAAGGUGGGGAUGACGUCAAAUCAUCAUGCCCUUUAUGACUUGGGCUACACACGUACUACAAUGGCGUUAAACAAAGAGAAGCAAGACCGCGAGGUGGAGCAAAACUCAGAAACAACGUCCCAGUUCGGACUGCAGGCUGCAACUCGCCUGCACGAAGUCGGAAUUGCUAGUAAUCGCAGAUCAGCAUGCUGCGGUGAAUACGUUCCCGGGCCUUGUACACACCGCCCGUCACACCAUGAGAGCCGGGGGGACCCGAAGUCGGUAGUCUAACCGCAAGGGGGACGCCGCCGAAGGUAAAACUGGUGAUUGGGGUGAAGUCGUAACAAGGUA